This 253-nucleotide ribosomal RNA is filed under the name uncultured bacterium. RNAcentral describes it as "partial 16S ribosomal RNA". It matches the Rfam family "Bacterial small subunit ribosomal RNA", at positions 524 to 776 of the family's 1533-position model. The record is from RNAcentral.
UACGUAGGGUGCAGGCGUUAAUCGGAAUUACUGGGCGUAAAGCGUGCGCAGGCGGUUUGCUAAGACAGGUGUGAAAUCCCCGGGCUUAACCUGGGAACUGCGCUUGUUACUGGCAAGCUAGAGUGUGGCAGAGGGGGGUGGAAUUCCACGUGUAGCAGUGAAAUGCGUAGAGAUGUGGAGGAACACCGAUGGCGAAGGCAAUCCCCUGGGCCUGCACUGACGCUCAUGCACGAAAGCGUGGGGAGCAAACAGG